Molecule: ribosomal RNA, 1483 nt
Filed under: uncultured Planctomycetota bacterium
Lineage: Bacteria; Pseudomonadati; Planctomycetota
Description: bacterial SSU rRNA
Rfam family: Bacterial small subunit ribosomal RNA
Source: RNAcentral
AGAGUUUGAUCAUGGCUCAGCGCGAACGCUGGCGGCAUGGCUAAAACAUGCAAGUCGAACGCGAAACCGGCUUCGGCCGGGAGUAGAGUGGCGAACGGGCGAGUAAUGCGUUUCUAACGUGCCCCGAGGUCGGGGAUAGCUCACCGAAAGGUGUGGUAAUACCCGAUGACCUCCGCGGAUCGCAUGGUCUGCGGAGCAAAGGCUUGCUGCCUCGGGAUCGGGAAACGUGCUAUCAGGUAGUUGGUGGGGUAACGGCUCACCAAGCCGAAGACGGCUAGCGGGUGUGAGAGCAUGACCCGCCGCAUCGGAACUGAGACACUGUCCGGACUCCUACGGGAGGCUGCAGUAACGGAUCUUCCGCAAUGCGCGAAAGCGUGACGGAGCAAUGCCGCGUGCGGGAUGAAGCCCCUUGGGGUGUAAACCGCUGUCAGGGCCUAGGAAUUCUGACCAGGCCCAGAGGAAGGACCGGCUAACUUCGUGCCAGCAGCCGCGGUAAGACGAAGGGUCCAAGCGUUGCGCGGAAUCACUGGGCUUAAAGCGUGCGCAGGCGGGUAUGUAAGUGCCUUGUGAAAUCCCACCGCUCAACGGUGGAAUUGCAGGGCAUACUGCAUACCUUGAGGUCGGUAGAGGUGCCCGGAACUGUAGGUGUAGCGGUGAAAUGCGUAGAUAUCUACAGGAACGCCGAAGGUGAAGACAGGGCACUGGGCCGAUUCUGACGCUCAGGCACGAAAGCGUGGGGAGCAAACAGGAUUAGAUACCCUGGUAGUCCACGCCGUAAACAAUGUGUACUAGAUCCGGGAGGUUCUGACACCAUCCGGAUCGAAGCUAAAGUGUUAAGUACACCGCCUGGGGAGUACGGUCGCAAAGGCUAAAACUCAAAGGGAAUUGACGGGGGGCUCACACAAGCGGUGGAGCAUGUUGCUUAAUUCGAUGCAACGCGAAGAACCUUAUCCUGGGUUUGACAUGCAUGGAUGCCCUUCCCGAAAGGGAAGUAAGCUGCUCAUUCGAGUGAAACAUGCACAGGUGCUGCAUGGCUGUCGUCAGCUCGUGCUGUGAAGUGUUGGGUUAAGUCCCUUAACGAGCGAAACCCCUGUCGCUAGUUGCCAGCGGGCCUACGGGUGCCGGGGACUCUAGCGAGACUGCCGGUGUCAAACCGGAGGAAGGCGGGGACGACGUCAAGUCAUCAUGGCCCUUAUGCCCAGGGCUGCUAACGUGCUACAAUGGUCGGUACAGAGCGAAGCAAUGCCGUAAGGCGGAGCAAAUCGCAAAAAGCCGGCCCCAGUUCGGAUCGUGGUCUGCAACUCGACCACGUGAAGUCGGAAUCGCUAGUAAUCGCGCAUCAGCCAUGGCGCGGUGAAUACGUUCCUGAGCCUUGUACACACCGCCCGUCAAGUCAUGGAAGCCGGGAGUGCCCGAAGUCGCACCGAUUCAGGUGCGCCGACGGCAAGCUCGGUGACUGGGACUAAGUCGUAACAAGGUAACC